CCGGCGAUGUCCGAAUGGGGAAACCCAGUGCAAUUCGUUGCACUAUCGUUAACUGAAUACAUAGGUUAACGAGGCGAACCGGGGGAACUGAAACAUCUAAGUACCCCGAGGAAAAGAAAUCAACCGAGAUUCCCCCAGUAGCGGCGAGCGAACGGGGAGCAGCCCAGAGUCUGAAUCAGCUUGUGUGUUAGUGGAACGGUCUGGAAAGUCCGACGGUACAGGGUGAUAGUCCCGUACACCAAAAUGCACAGGCUGUGAACUCGAAGAGUAGGGCGGGACACGUGGUAUCCUGUCUGAAUAUGGGGGGACCAUCCUCCAAGGCUAAAUACUCCUGACUGACCGAUAGUGAACCAGUACCGUGAGGGAAAGGCGAAAAGAACCCCGGCGAGGGGAGUGAAAAAGAACCUGAAACCGUGUACGUACAAGCAGUGGGAGCACCUUCGGGUGUGACUGCGUACCUUUUGUAUAAUGGGUCAGCGACUUAUAUUCUGUAGCAAGGUUAACCGUAUAGGGGAGCCGCAGGGAAACCGAGUCUUAACUGGGCGUUAAGUUGCAGGGUAUAGACCCGAAACCCGGUGAUCUAGCCAUGGGCAGGUUGAAGGUUGGGUAACACUAACUGGAGGACCGAACCGACUAAUGUUGAAAAAUUAGCGGAUGACUUGUGGCUGGGGGUGAAAGGCCAAUCAAACCGGGAGAUAGCUGGUUCUCCCCGAAAGCUAUUUAGGUAGCGCCUCGUGAACUCAUCUUCGGGGGUAGAGCACUGUUUCGGCUAGGGGGUCAUCCCGACUUACCAACCCAAUGCAAACUACGAAUACCGAAGAAUGUUAUCACGGGAGACACACGGCGGGUGCUAACGUCCGUCGUGAAGAGGGAAACAACCCAGACCGCCAGCUAAGGUCCCAAAGUCAUGGUUAAGUGGGAAACGAUGUGGGAAGGCACAGACAGCCAGGAUGUUGGCUUAGAAGCAGCCAUCAUUUAAAGAAAGCGUAAUAGCUCACUGGUCGAGUCGGCCUGCGCGGAAGAUGUAACGGGGCUAAACCAUGCACCGAAGCUGCGGCAGCGACACUAUGUGUUGUUGGGUAGGGGAGCGUUCUGUAAGCCUGCGAAGGUGACCUGUGAGGGUUGCUGGAGGUAUCAGAAGUGCGAAUGCUGACAUAAGUAACGAUAAAGCGGGUGAAAAGCCCGCUCGCCGGAAGACCAAGGGUUCCUGUCCAACGUUAAUCGGGGCAGGGUGAGUCGACCCCUAAGGCGAGGCCGAAAGGCGUAGUCGAUGGGAAACAGGUUAAUAUUCCUGUACUUGGUGUUACUGCGAAGGGGGGACGGAGAAGGCUAUGUUAGCCGGGCGACGGUUGUCCCGGUUUAAGCAUGUAGGCUGGUUAUCCAGGCAAAUCCGGAUAAUCAAGGCUGAGGUGUGAUGACGAGGCACUACGGUGCUGAAGUAACAAAUGCCCUGCUUCCAGGAAAAGCCUCUAAGCAUCAGGUAACAUCAAAUCGUACCCCAAACCGACACAGGUGGUCAGGUAGAGAAUACCAAGGCGCUUGAGAGAACUCGGGUGAAGGAACUAGGCAAAAUGGUGCCGUAACUUCGGGAGAAGGCACGCUGGUGUGUAGGUGAAGCCCCUGCGGGUGGAGCUGAGACCAGUCGAAGAUACCAGCUGGCUGCAACUGUUUAUUAAAAACACAGCACUGUGCAAACACGAAAGUGGACGUAUACGGUGUGACGCCUGCCCGGUGCCGGAAGGUUAAUUGAUGGGGUUAUCCGUAAGGAGAAGCUCUUGAUCGAAGCCCCGGUAAACGGCGGCCGUAACUAUAACGGUCCUAAGGUAGCGAAAUUCCUUGUCGGGUAAGUUCCGACCUGCACGAAUGGCGUAAUGAUGGCCAGGCUGUCUCCACCCGAGACUCAGUGAAAUUGAACUCGCUGUGAAGAUGCAGUGUACCCGCGGCAAGACGGAAAGACCCCGUGAACCUUUACUAUAGCUUGACACUGAACAUUGAGCCUUGAUGUGUAGGAUAGGUGGGAGGCUUUGAAGCGUGGACGCCAGUCUGCGUGGAGCCAACCUUGAAAUACCACCCUUUAAUGUUUGAUGUUCUAACGUUGGCCCCUUACCGGGGUUGCGGACAGUGUCUGGUGGGUAGUUUGACUGGGGCGGUCUCCUCCCAAAGCGUAACGGAGGAGCACGAAGGUUAGCUAAUCCUGGUCGGACAUCAGGAGGUUAGUGCAAUGGCAUAAGCUAGCUUGACUGCGAGCGUGACGGCGCGAGCAGGUGCGAAAGCAGGUCAUAGUGAUCCGGUGGUUCUGAAUGGAAGGGCCAUCGCUCAACGGAUAAAAGGUACUCCGGGGAUAACAGGCUGAUACCGCCCAAGAGUUCAUAUCGACGGCGGUGUUUGGCACCUCGAUGUCGGCUCAUCACAUCCUGGGGCUGAAGUAGGUCCCAAGGGUAUGGCUGUUCGCCAUUUAAAGUGGUACGCGAGCUGGGUUUAGAACGUCGUGAGACAGUUCGGUCCCUAUCUGCCGUGGGCGCUGGAGAAUUGAGGGGGGCUGCUCCUAGUACGAGAGGACCGGAGUGGACGCAUCACUGGUGUUCGGGUUGUCAUGCCAAUGGCACUGCCCGGUAGCUAAAUGCGGAAGAGAUAAGUGCUGAAAGCAUCUAAGCACGAAACUUGCCCCGAGAUGAGUUCUCCCUGAGACUAUAAGUCUCCUGAAGGAACGUUAAAGACGAUGACGUUGAUAGGCCGGGUGUGUAAGCGCAGCGAUGCGUUGAGCUAACCGGUACUAAUGAACCGUGAGGCUUAACCUU
This 2798-nucleotide ribosomal RNA is filed under the name Klebsiella pneumoniae. RNAcentral's name for it is "bacterial LSU rRNA". It matches the Rfam family "Bacterial large subunit ribosomal RNA". The record is from RNAcentral. Lineage: Bacteria; Pseudomonadati; Pseudomonadota; Gammaproteobacteria; Enterobacterales; Enterobacteriaceae.